CCACGACUCACGUCUGUGUCAGCAGCGCGGUAAAUACCCAGCUCUCCGAAGUGGAGGGGUGAUUAUUGGCUUAAAGCGUCCGGUAGCCGGCUUGGCAAGUCUUCCGUUAAAUCCGCAACCUAAUUGUUGGGCUGCGGGGGGAUACUGGUUAGGCUAGGGGGCGGGAGAGGCCGACGGUAUUCUCGGGGUAGGGGUGAAAUCUUAUAAUCCCCGGGGAGGGACCGCCAGUGGCGAAGGCUGUCGGCUAGCACGCGCCUGACGGUGAGGGACGAAAGCUUGGGGGGAGCGAACCGGAUUAGAUACCCGGGUAGUCCCUGGCUGUAAACGAUGCGAGCUAGGUGUUGGGGGCGGCUACGAGCCGCUUCAGUGCCGCAGCGAAGGCGUUAAGCUCGCCGCCUGGGGAGUACGGCCGCAAGGCUGAAACUUAAAGGGAAUUGGCGGGGGAGCACCACAAGGCGUGAAGCUUGCGGUUCAAUUGGAGUCAACGCCGGGAACCUUACCGGGGGGCGACAGCAGGAUGAAGGCCAGGUUGAUGGCCUUGCUGGACGAGCUGAGAGGAGGCGCAUGGCCGUCGUCAGUUCGUGCCGUGAGGUGUCCUCUUAAGUGAGGUAACGAUCGAGACCCGCGCCCCUUGUUGCUAGCAGAUUCCAUCGGAAUCUGUGCACACUAGGGGGACCGCCGUCGAUAAGACGGAGGAAGGAGCGGGCCACGGCAGGUCAGUAUGCCCCGAAUCCCCCGGGCCACACGCGAGCUGCAAUGGCAGGGACAAUGGGUGUCGACUCCGAAAGGAGGAGGUAAUCUCUAAACCCUGCCUCAGUUGGGAUCGAGGGCUGAAACCCGUCCUCGUGAAUAUGGAAUGCCUAGUAAUCGCGCGUCAUCAUCGCGCGGUGAAUACGUCCCCGCUCC
This 906-nucleotide ribosomal RNA is filed under the name uncultured archaeon. RNAcentral describes it as "bacterial SSU rRNA". It matches the Rfam family "Archaeal small subunit ribosomal RNA", at positions 436 to 1336 of the family's 1478-position model. The record is from RNAcentral.